This 253-nucleotide unclassified non-coding RNA is filed under the name uncultured Russula. Its description in RNAcentral is "sequence contains ITS2". The record is from RNAcentral. Lineage: Eukaryota; Fungi; Basidiomycota; Agaricomycetes; Russulales; Russulaceae.
AAUCCUCAAAACCUGUUCUUCGAUUGGGGAAAGGGUUUUGGACUUGGAGGAUCAAUGCUUGCCCUCACUUUGAAGGCGAGCUCCUCUCAAAUAAAUUAGUGGGGUUUGCUUUGCUGAUCCUUGACGGUGAUAAGACAUCUCUACGUUUUGGAUUUGGCAACUGUCCCUUGCUUCUAACCGUCCUAUAUGGACAAUGAUGGGUGCACCGGUCCACCUCCUUACAUUGGAGGGGGGCUGGACCCACAAAAAAGGA